CACAUUGUGGAAAUGAAUUUAGGAAUUAAUUCGAUUUUAAGAUUAUCUAUUAUUUUAGUUUAUUUUUAAGAUUGAAAACCAUACACGGUUGGCAAUUACGUACAUUUGUAUAUAUUUAUUCUGUAAUGGGACUGUUUCUUAAUGUAAGAGUUCAAAGUUGUCAAGUUUUCUCUGGGCGUUUGUAUGGAGCUGAUGAUAUUUUGUAUUUUUCAAGUUCUAUUAGGAUCCUAAGAGGUAUUUGGCGGAGCGUAAGACCGCGAGUUCGAAGCUGAAGCAACGGAUUGCUGGGAAGAUGGAAGGUUUUAGGAGAGUUUCUUGCAUAAAUGUUCCUCUUCCAUUAUCUCAGUUACUGAGCUCUGCGGAUGAUUGAUGAGCCGCAUGUAAGUUUACCAAUGAUGGAGAAGAAUAGAAGAUCAAGUAGUAGCUGGGACUUUUGAUCUUAACCAUUGUCUUGGGAUUCCUGAUGAACUAACAGGAAUGAAGCCUGAGGCAUUGCGGAUCUAUAUGUCCCUGUUGCUGUUGGCAAUGAACCUGCAAAGUAGUGGUACAUGAAAGUGGUUUUUUUUUUUGUGAAAAUGAUAAACCUGCAUGGAAAGCGAGAUUUCUUGAUCUGCCUCGAAGAGUUUUAUUAUGGUUUGCUCUUGCUGGAUGACAGAUAACUUACGAGUAUAAGGAGGUUCGUAGAAGACAGCAAUCCCCGGUGUGGCAUGUAUGAUCGAGGUAAGGCAUAGUACCGUUGCUACGAUGAGAAGGGCUUGCAUUUGCAUUCCCAUAUCUAGUUUUUUGAUAACUUACUUACUAAUUAGUACUUAGUGGUGCAAUUGCAAACCUGAUGGUUUUUCUCUAUAUAUACACAAUCAUCUACAUAGGCAAAGACCUAAGAAAGUCACCCAGUCAAUGGACUGUAUGAAUUCCAUUACAAGAGUAGAUGAAGGGCCUACUCAUUUUUGACUCAUUGCCACAUUUCUGUUGGCACUUAAAUUGAUUUUGUAGACUUUAAGGCUUCACAAGCACCUUCUUGGAAGGGGAAAAAAAAAGGGGGGAUUCAGAUUCUUUCCAGAUCAUAUCUGGACCUGGAAAAAGAGUGUCUGAACAAGUGGACCUUAAGCCAUUGGUCUGAAUUCAACAGGGCUUACAUAUUUGUUGAAAGUCAACAGGCUUGAUAAAGCCCAAUAGUAA
Tripterygium wilfordii is the source of this 1179-nucleotide long non-coding RNA. RefSeq lists it as uncharacterized. The record is from RefSeq and is a predicted model, not a curated record. The transcript has 4 exons. NCBI's taxonomy places the organism in Eukaryota, Viridiplantae, Streptophyta, Magnoliopsida, Celastrales, Celastraceae.